This 320-nucleotide ribosomal RNA is filed under the name uncultured Prevotella sp. RNAcentral describes it as "bacterial SSU rRNA". It matches the Rfam family "Bacterial small subunit ribosomal RNA", at positions 28 to 339 of the family's 1533-position model. The record is from RNAcentral. Lineage: Bacteria; Pseudomonadati; Bacteroidota; Bacteroidia; Bacteroidales; Prevotellaceae.
GAUGAACGCUAGCUACAGGCUUAACACAUGCAAGUCGAGGGGCAGCAUGAAGUUUGCUUGCAAACUUUGAUGGCGACCGGCGCACGGGUGAGUAACGCGUAUCCAACCUUCCCUAUAGUAGAGAAUAGCCCGGCGAAAGUCGGAUUAAUGCUCUAUGUUAUUCAAAGCGGACAUCUAAUUUGAAUCAAAGGUUCACCGCUAUAGGAUGGGGAUGCGUCUGAUUAGCUUGAUGGCGGGGUAACGGCCCACCAUGGCGACGAUCAGUAGGGGUUCUGAGAGGAAGGUCCCCCACAUUGGAACUGAGACACGGUCCAAACUCC